This 71-nucleotide transfer RNA is filed under the name Loxodonta africana (African savanna elephant). It matches the Rfam family "tRNA". Rfam says of the family: Transfer RNA (tRNA) molecules are approximately 80 nucleotides in length. Their secondary structure includes four short double-helical elements and three loops (D, anti-codon, and T loops). The record is from Rfam by way of RNAcentral. Lineage: Eukaryota; Metazoa; Chordata; Mammalia; Proboscidea; Elephantidae.
GCAGUGGUGGUUCGGUGGUAGAAUUCUUGCCUUCUGUGCUGGAGACCCAGGUUCAAUUCCCAGCCAAUGUA